AGCCAUCUUGCUCAUUCUAGUUUAAACUUUUGAGUGGUUUGUGUCUCCUGAUUGGACUCCUACAAAUACAGAAUUGAUGCUAGGAAGGGUACCAGGAGAUAGACGCACACAGAUGGGAUUUGGGAAUAGGUUUGGUUAUCCAAGGAGCAGUGCUGAGCUCCUUGCUAAUGGGAUAUGGGAUGCUGAUGAUUUCCAGGAAGUGACCUCACAAUGACUCAAGCUACCACAUGCUGUUGAUUGUGAAAUGCCAGUUGAAGCAUAUGUCCUGCGAGCUUAGGGGUGCUACAAGUUGACCACUGCAGCAGUAAAGAUGACUCUGAAGAAUGGCGUGGGAUGGAUCCUUUCGAAUGCACUUGAGCAGCGGUCUCCAACCACAGGGCCACAGAGCUGGAGGUGAGCAGCAGCUGGAUCUACCAU
This 417-nucleotide long non-coding RNA is filed under the name Homo sapiens (human). RNAcentral describes it as "non-protein coding LINC00999:8". Lineage: Eukaryota; Metazoa; Chordata; Mammalia; Primates; Hominidae. The record is from RNAcentral.